This is a long non-coding RNA of Lycium barbarum (goji berry), 457 nucleotides long. RefSeq lists it as uncharacterized. NCBI's taxonomy places the organism in Eukaryota, Viridiplantae, Streptophyta, Magnoliopsida, Solanales, Solanaceae. The record is from RefSeq and is a predicted model, not a curated record. The transcript is spliced from 3 exons.
CUCAAACGAUGCUUUGACAUGCAUGAGUUGCUCUCUCCUAUGUUGCACCUUAAGGAUUGAAUUACUUUUGGCUGACUGGGAAGACUCUCUGAGGUCCAUGAUUUUUGCUUGGUUUUCACAGGAAUUCUAGCUAUCAAGACUUGGAAAGAAAUUGAUGAGUACGUACUGGUUUCACAAGCUCAUGAGGAAACGACGGUAAGAAAGCAACCUCAUAGCUUGAUGUUGAGGUACCCAACUAGGAAAAUUGGGGUACAAUUGAUGGAGGUCAUUGCAAUUCUAUGCUUGGACGUAUAUGUGCUCUUCAAGAAAAGUCUACAGCCAACUACAGCUACUUGAAUCUAGAUUGUAGUCCCUUAUACGAAGAACAUCAAAAAUUUCACAGCUUCUCUCUUUCUAACAAACUUGGCAAUGUAAUAGUGUAACUUUGUUCCGCACAAUAUGAAACAUAUUAUCUUUA